UACGUAGGGUGCAAGCGUUGUUCGGAUUUAUUGGGCUUAAAGGGUGCGUAGGCGGCCUUGUAAGUCAGUAGUGAAAUACCCCAGCUUAACUGGGGGGGUGCUAUUGAUACUGCAGGGCUUGAGUACAGAUGAGGUAGGCGGAAUUGACGGUGUAGCGGUGAAAUGCAUAGAUAUCGUCAAGAACACCGAUAGCGAAGGCAGCUUACUAAGUUGUAACUGACGCUGAGGCACGAAAGUGUGGGGAUCAAACAGG
RNAcentral lists this ribosomal RNA (253 nucleotides) under uncultured bacterium. RNAcentral describes it as "partial 16S ribosomal RNA". It matches the Rfam family "Bacterial small subunit ribosomal RNA", at positions 524 to 776 of the family's 1533-position model. The record is from RNAcentral.